GGGAAACUGGGGCUGAUCCACGAUAGAUGACCUCAUCUGGAAGGAGAGGUCGUCCAAAAGGAUGCGCGAGUAUGCUUCGCGCCUUCCGCUCCAGGAUGGGACUGCGGCCGAUCAGGCUGUUGGUGGGGUAAUGGCCCACCAAACCUGUAACCGGUACGGGCUUUGAGAGAAGGAGCCCGGAGAUGGACACUGAGACAAGGGUCCAGGCCCUACGGGGCGCAUCAGGCGCGAAAACUUCGCAAUGCGCGAAAGCGUGACGAGGCUAGUCCGAGUGCCUUCCGCUGAGGAGGGCUUUUCUCGGCUGUAAAUAGGCCGGGGAAUAAGGGGAGGGCAAGUCUGGUGUCAGCCGCCGCGGUAAUACCAGCUCCUGGAGUGGUCGGGACGAUUAUUGGGCCUAAAGCACCCGUAGCCGGUUCAGUAAGUCCUCUGUCAAAUCCAACCGCUCAACGGUUGGCCCGCAGAGGAUACUGCUGGACUAGGAGGCGGGAGAGGCGGACGGUACUCCGCGUGUAGGGGUAAAAUCCUUUGAUCCGCGGAAGACCACCAGUGGCGAAGGCGGUCCGCCAGAACGCGCUCGACGGUGAGGGGUGAAAGCUGGGGGAGCGAACCGGAUUAGAUACCCGGGUAGUCCCAGCCGUAAACGAUGCGAGCUAGAUGAUUCGAUCGCAGUUCGCGAUCGAAGUGUCGCAGGGAAGCCGUUAAGCUCGCCGCCUGGGGAGUACGGUCGCAAGGCUGAAACUUAAAGGAAUUGGCGGGGGAGCA
This 762-nucleotide ribosomal RNA is filed under the name uncultured archaeon. RNAcentral describes it as "bacterial SSU rRNA". It matches the Rfam family "Archaeal small subunit ribosomal RNA", at positions 134 to 878 of the family's 1478-position model. The record is from RNAcentral.